This 865-nucleotide ribosomal RNA is filed under the name uncultured bacterium. Its description in RNAcentral is "bacterial SSU rRNA". It matches the Rfam family "Bacterial small subunit ribosomal RNA", at positions 11 to 887 of the family's 1533-position model. The record is from RNAcentral.
GUUUGAUCCUGGCUCAGGAUGAACGCUAGCGGGAGGCCUAACACAUGCAAGCCGAGCGGUAUGGGUAGCUUGCUACCCAGAGAGCGGCGUACGGGUGCGUAACACGUGUGCAACCUGCCCCUAUCCGGGGGAUAGCCCUCCGAAAGGAGGAUUAAUACCCCAUAAUAUAUCUGGUGGCAUCACUAGAUAUUGAAAACCCCGGUGGAUAGGGAUGGGCACGCGCAAGAUUAGAUAGUUGGCGGGGUAACGGCCCACCAAGUCGAUGAUCUUUAGGGGUCCUGAGAGGGAGAUCCCCCACACUGGUACUGAGACACGGACCGGACUCCUACGGGAGGCAGCAGUGAGGAAUAUUGGACAAUGGGUGGAAGCCUGAUCCAGCCAUCCCGCGUGAGGGACGACGGCCCUAUGGGUUGUAAACCUCUUUUGUACGGGGAUAAACCUAUCUACGUGUAGAUAGCUGAAGGUACCGUACGAAUAAGCACCGGCUAACUCCGUGCCAGCAGCCGCGGUAAUACGGAGGGUGCGAGCGUUAUCCGGAUUUAUUGGGUUUAAAGGGUCCGUAGGCGGGCCCGUAAGUCAGUGGUGAAAUCUCGCAGCUUAACUGCGAAACUGCCAUUGAUACUGCGGGCCUUGAGUGGAUUUGAAGUGGCUGGAAUAAGUAGUGUAGCGGUGAAAUGCAUAGAUUUACUUAGAACACCGAUGCGAAGGCAGGUCACUAAGUCCAACUGACGCUAGGGACGAAAGCGUGGGUAGCGAACAGGAUUAGAUACCCUGGUAGUCCACGCCGUAACGAUGCUACUCGUUUUUGGGCCGCAGGCUCAAGACCAAGCGAAAGUGAUAAGUUAGCCACCUGGGGAGUACGUUC